GAUGAAGAACGUAGCGAAAUGCGAUAAGUAGUGUGAAUUGCAGAAUCCAGUGAAUCAUCGAAUCUUUGAACGCACAUUGCGCCCGCCAGCAUUCUGGCGGGCAUGCCUGUUCGAGCGUCAUUUCAACCCUCGACCUCCCUUUGGGGAAGUCGGCGUUGGGGACCGGCAGCACACCGCCGGCCCUGAAAUGGAGUGGCGGCCCGUCCGCGGCGACCUCUGCGUAGUAAACCAACUCGCACCGGAACCCCGACGUGGCCACGCCGUAAAACACCCAACUUCUGAACGUUGACCUCGAAUCAGGUAGGACUACCCGCUGAACUUAAGCAUAUCAAUAAGCGGAGGA
RNAcentral lists this unclassified non-coding RNA (343 nucleotides) under soil metagenome. RNAcentral's name for it is "partial contains 5.8S ribosomal RNA, internal transcribed spacer 2, and large subunit ribosomal RNA". The stretch from base 1 to 120 matches the Rfam family "5.8S ribosomal RNA", at positions 35 to 154 of the family's 154-position model. The record is from RNAcentral.